UACACAUACACUCACACCCCACACUCAGGGUACUUUCCGCUCUGAUCAGCAGAGAUAAAUUUUCCUACCUGACAGUUGACUGUAAAUCAAGAAGUGUGUUUUAAUAGACACCACCUUUCUGCUUCUGUGUGCUGCUGUCUCAGGCAAUCCUUCACCUCGCGGGACACAGGAUAUGCAGGCUCUUGGCACGUUCUCUCCACUGCACAUGGAGAGGUGGUGCUUAGCAGCAAGAUCCUGUUCAUCAGUCUGAGAUCAAUCCCUCUUAAAAGGCAAGGAUGAAAAACCAAGCACCUUUCUUCUCCUUCUGCUAAAGACAGAAGCAUGUUGAGGGGAGCAACCCAGUCUGUUGUGCAGAGUACAGAAUGUUCUCUUCUGUGAACUGCGCUUGAACUUUUCCAUCCCACUUUGUUUGAGGAACCAUACAGACCAGAGGAGAAAACACAGGGAAGAUAACCCCAAAAAUCAUUGAAAUCUUAAGUGUUCUCUCUGAUUUUGGCCCAGAUCAUUUGUUUUUCACGGCUCGAAAUUAAAAAUCCCGAGUAUAUAGUUCUUGGAAGAACAAAAUGCCUGAUGGCCUUUUUCUAAGACCGGACUUGGUGACUUUAGAAAAUUAACAAGUUUGUCACCGCCUCUCCUCAGAUUUCUUUUUUCUCCCUCUUGGGCAUUCAAGGGACAAUGACAACAAAAGCUAUUUUCCUGUAAGGGAAAGGAAAGACCCCCAGUGCCUGUGAUUUCUCUCUUAGUUGUUUAGGCUAUCGUGGUAUUACAAACAGUGUUCCCCAA
This is a long non-coding RNA of Rhinolophus ferrumequinum (greater horseshoe bat), 783 nucleotides long. RefSeq lists it as uncharacterized. The transcript is spliced from 3 exons. The record is from RefSeq and is a predicted model, not a curated record. NCBI's taxonomy places the organism in Eukaryota, Metazoa, Chordata, Mammalia, Chiroptera, Rhinolophidae.